Molecule: ribosomal RNA, 338 nt
Filed under: uncultured bacterium
Lineage: Bacteria
Description: partial 16S ribosomal RNA
Rfam family: Bacterial small subunit ribosomal RNA
Source: RNAcentral
CCUACGGGUGGCAGCAGUGAGGAAUAUUGGUCAAUGGGCGCAAGCCUGAACCAGCCAAGUCGCGUGCAGGAUGACGGCCCUACGGGUUGUAAACUGCUUUUAUACGGGAGUAACGCGCCUUGCGUGUAGGGCUUUGCAUGUCCCGUAUCAAUAAGGACCGGCUCAUUCCGUGACAGCAGCCGCAAUAAUACGGAAGGUCCGGGGGUUGUCCGGAUUUAUUGGGUUUAGAGGGAGCGUAGGCCGCAGGUCAAUCGUGCUGUGAAAUGUCCGGGCUAAAACAGGGCCUUUCAGCGCGAACGGGCGUGGUGGGGGCCGCGGAAAGCAGGGGGAAUUCGGGG